AUUGAACGCUGGCGGCAGGCCUAACACAUGCAAGUCGAGCGGAUGAAGGGAGCUUGCUCCUGGAUUCAGCGGCGGACGGGUGAGUAAUGCCUAGGAAUCUGCCUGGUAGUGGGGGAUAACGUCCGGAAACGGGCGCUAAUACCGCACACGUCCUGAGGGAGAAAGUGGGGGAUCUUCGGACCUCACGCUAUCAGAUGAGCCUAGGUCGGAUUAGCUAGUUGGUGGGGUAAAGGCCUACCAAGGCGACGAUCCGUAACUGGUCUGAGAGGACGAUCAGUCACACUGGAACUGAGACACGGUCCAGACUCCUACGGGAGGCAGCAGUGGGGAAUAUUGGACAAUGGGCGAAAGCCUGAUCCAGCCAUGCCGCGUGUGUGAAGAAGGUCUUCGGAUUGUAAAGCACUUUAAGUUGGGAGGAAGGGCAGUAAGUUAAUACCUUGCUGUUUUGACGUUACCAACAGAAUAAGCACCGGCUAACUUCGUG
This 484-nucleotide ribosomal RNA is filed under the name uncultured bacterium. RNAcentral describes it as "partial 16S ribosomal RNA". It matches the Rfam family "Bacterial small subunit ribosomal RNA", at positions 30 to 507 of the family's 1533-position model. The record is from RNAcentral.